GAUGAAGAACGUAGUGAAAUGCGAUACUUGGUGUGAAUUGCAGAAUCCCGUGAACCAUCGAGUCUUUGAACGCAAGUUGCGCCCGAAGCCAUUAGGCCGAGGGCACGCCUGCCUGGGCGUCACACGUCGUUGCCCCCCCAUCUACUCCUUCGGGAUUGCGGGGGGCGGAUGAUGGCCUCCCGUGCGCCUUGUCGCGCGGUUGGCAUAAAUACCAAGUCCUCGGCGACGCACGCCACGACAAUCGGUGGUUGCGAAACCUCGGUUGCCCGUCGUGUGCGGUCGUCGCGCAUCGAGGGCUCGAAAAAAUUGCCGGGCUCCGGCUCGGCUUUCAACGCGACCCCAGGUCAGGCGGGGUUACCCGCUGAAUUUAAGCAUAUCAAUAAGCGGAGGA
RNAcentral lists this unclassified non-coding RNA (391 nucleotides) under soil metagenome. RNAcentral describes it as "partial contains 5.8S ribosomal RNA, internal transcribed spacer 2, and large subunit ribosomal RNA". The stretch from base 1 to 122 matches the Rfam family "5.8S ribosomal RNA", at positions 35 to 154 of the family's 154-position model. The record is from RNAcentral.